UAGAUUGUAAAUUUCAUCCGAGGCAGCCAUGGCUAUUCACAGCUGGAGCAGAUUCUGUCAUUAAACUGUAUUGCCACUAAUGAUAGAUUCUCCAGGAAACUUUGAAGAAUCUCCUCGAGUCAAGAUACGUGAGUACUUGCUGAUCCUACAUGAAUACGGUAGCAAGUUCAUGUUCUUUGCUUGAUAAUUUAUUCUUUUUUGACCAAUUCAUUUCCGCAAACCCCUUACCUGUAAGCACCAACUAGUAUCCUUAUUGUCAAGAAUUAAUUUUAUCAACGACUUAUAAGUUUGGUAUGCAUAUUUCUUAUGAUGUUGAACCUUGACUUUGAGACACAUGAUGGCUUUGUUUUAUUUUUUUUGUUGAAUUUUCUAUCCUGUAAGUUUCAACUCCACUAGUAUCAUGUUUCCAUAGAUGAUGCUGUCUUAGAUGUUGGAGUCGUGACUCAUUCUUUAUACUGAUGUUUCUGUGUGGAAUUUUCCCAGUUGUCCUGUUCAUUGUUUGAUGUUUCUGUGUGUGUUGUAGCUGAAUUUGGUUGUAGCUUCUGCAAGCUUUCUUCACUUUCUUCCCUCCACUAUCUGUUAACAAGUUUGAUCUUUACAAUUCAGUUAUAAGAACAAACAAUAUGACCAAAGGUUGACAGCUUUGCUUCAUCCUUUUUACAUUUCAGUAUGUGGAUGAAAGCAAAUAUGUACUGAUGUACCUAAAUGGAUUUACAAAAAUAUCUUUGAAAUGUUUUGUCAUACAGAUAUGGCAUCUAGUAUAAUUUUUUCCAACUUGAUUGUUGCAUUAUCAUAUAAUGAGAUUAGGUGCACAGCUUGCAGUCAGUUUAUUGUUUUUGCUAAAGAUCAUUGCUAGUAGGCCGACAAAAGACAGGUCUAAAAUGAAGCCUAAGAAAACAUGCUUAAGAUGAUAUUUUAAGAUUUUCUAAACAUUGGAUCGUUGCGGAAGGUUGUGAUUGGCACGGCAAGUGUUCUAAAAUGAAGCCAAAGAAAAUGGGGGAGAAAAUAAGCUUCAAGAUAUCAAACUCUACACCUUCUAUAUGGAGCUAGAUUUGCAAAAGCCAUAUCCAACUCGAGGAAGUGACUUAUUGACAUGGGAGAGAACUUAUUGGUAACCAAGGACUUUGUGAAGAUAGCAAAUUUUGGUCUUGCUCGUGAAGUUCAUUCG
Zingiber officinale is the source of this 1168-nucleotide long non-coding RNA. RefSeq lists it as uncharacterized. The transcript has 3 exons. The record is from RefSeq and is a predicted model, not a curated record. Lineage: Eukaryota; Viridiplantae; Streptophyta; Magnoliopsida; Zingiberales; Zingiberaceae.